Molecule: ribosomal RNA, 495 nt
Filed under: uncultured bacterium
Lineage: Bacteria
Description: partial 16S ribosomal RNA
Rfam family: Bacterial small subunit ribosomal RNA
Source: RNAcentral
GACGAACGCUGGCGGCGUGCCUAAUACAUGCAAGUAGAACGCUGAAGGAGGAGCUUGCUUCUCCGGAUGAGUUGCGAACGGGUGAGUAACGCGUAGGUAACCUGCCUGGUAGCGGGGGAUAACUAUUGGAAACGAUAGCUAAUACCGCAUAAGAGUAGAUGUCGCAUGACAUUUGCUUAAAAGGUGCAACUGCACCACUACCAGAUGGACCUGCGUUGUAUUAGCUAGUUGGUGAGGUAACGGCUCACCAAGGCAACGAUACAUAGCCGACCUGAGAGGGUGAGCGGCCGCACUGGGACUGAGACACGGCCCAGACUCCUACGGGAGGCAGCAGGAGGGAAUCUUCGGCAAUGGACGGAAGUCUGACCGAGCAACGCCGCGUGAGUGAAGAAGGUUUUCGGAUCGUAAAGCUCUGUUGUAAGGGAAGAACGAGUGUGAGAGUGGAAAGUUCACACUGUGACGGUAUCUUACCAGAAAGGGACGGCUAACUACGUG